UAGCUUAGUGGCGAACGGGUGAGUAACACGUAGGCAACCUGCCCAAAAGAGGGGGAUAACACUUGGAAACAGGUGCUAAUACCGCAUAACCAUGAACACCGCAUGAUGUUCAUGUAAAAGGCGGCUUUUGCUGUCACUUUUGGAUGGGCCUGCGGCGUAUUAACUUGUUGGUGGGGUAACGGCCUACCAAGGUGAUGAUACGUAGCUGAACUGAGAGGUUGAUCGGCCACAUUGGGACUGAGACACGGCCCAAACUCCUACGGGAGGCAGCAGUAGGGAAUCUUCCACAAUGGACGAAAGUCUGAUGGAGCAACGCCGCGUGAAUGAAGAAGGCCUUCGUGUCGUAAAAUUCUGUUGUCAGAGAAGAACGUGCGUGAGAGUAACUGUUCACGUAUUGACGGUAUCUGACCAGAAAGCCACGGCUAACUACGUGCCAGCAGCCGCGGUAAUACGUAGGUGGCGAGCGUUGUCCGGAUUUAUUGGGCGUAAAGGGAACGCAGGCGGUCUUUUAAGUCUGAUGUGAAAGCCUUCGGCUUAACCGAAGUAGUGCAUUGGAAACUGGAAGACUUGAGUGCAGAAGAGGAGAGUGGAACUCCAUGUGUAGCGGUGAAAUGCGUAGAUAUAUGGAAGAACACCAGUGGCGAAAGCGGCUCUCUGGUCUGUAACUGACGCUGAGGUUCGAAAGCGUGGGUAGCAAACAGGAUUAGAUACCCUGGUAGUCCACGCCGUAAACGAUGAGUGCUAAGUGUUGGAGGGUUUCCGCCCUUCAGUGCUGCAGCUAACGCAUUAAGCACUCCGCCUGGGGAGUACGGUCGCAAGACUGAAACUCAAAGGAAUUGACGGGGGCCCGCACAAGCGGUGGAGCAUGUGGUUUAAUUCGAAGCAACGCGAAGAACCUUACCAGGUCUUGACAUCUUCUGACAAUUCCAGAGAUGGAACGUUCCCUUCGGGGACAGAAUGACAGGUGGUGCAUGGUUGUCGUCAGCUCGUGUCGUGAGAUGUUGGGUUAAGUCCCGCAACGAGCGCAACCCUUAUUGUCAGUUGCCAUCAUUAAGUUGGGCACUCUGGCGAGACUGCCGGUGACAAACCGGAGGAAGGUGGGGAUGACGUCAAAUCAUCAUGCCCCUUAUGACCUGGGCUACACACGUGCUACAAUGGACGGUACAACGAGUCGCUAACUCGCGGGGGCAAGCUAAUCUCUUAAAGCCGUUCUCAGUUCGGAUUGCAGGCUGCAACUCGCCUGCAUGAAGUCGGAAUCGCUAGUAAUCGCGAAUCAGCAUGUCGCGGUGAAUACGUUCCCGGGCCUUGUACACACCGCCCGUCACACCAUGAGAGUUUGUAACACCCAAAGUCGGUGGGGUAACCUUUUGGAGCCAGCCGCCUAAGGUGGGACAGAUGAUUGGGGUGAAGUCGUAACAAGGUA
RNAcentral lists this ribosomal RNA (1423 nucleotides) under metagenome. RNAcentral's name for it is "bacterial SSU rRNA". It matches the Rfam family "Bacterial small subunit ribosomal RNA". The record is from RNAcentral.